Molecule: long non-coding RNA, 2123 nt
Filed under: Manihot esculenta (cassava)
Lineage: Eukaryota; Viridiplantae; Streptophyta; Magnoliopsida; Malpighiales; Euphorbiaceae
Description: long non-coding RNA (MESC_LNC002088)
Source: RNAcentral
AUUGCUUUACCUUCCUUUUCCCUUCACAAGAACAAGGAGUAAAAUAUACUCUCUCUCCCUCUCUCUCUCCCAAAGUGCAAUUUCAGAAAGUGUGAUUAUUAUCCCAACAAAAGUAAAAGAGAAUAUAAUUGAAUUUUUAUAUUAAUAUAUGGUAUGGCAAACAAGGAAAUUAAUUCACAAAUUAAUUCCAUAUAGAAUUGAAUACAGAAUUCAUUUAGAAGUAAAAGGCUUGCUAAACUAGAAUUGGUUUUAGAUAGUGUGAAGUUUGGAAAUUGGACCCAGUAUAGGUUUAGAACAGCUUGUGGUUCCCAAUAACAUAAAGAUUUGGGGAACACUGAAUCUGAACCACCAGUAUUUAUGAUUUCAAGGCUAUUCACAGAACUUCUAACUGUAAUUCCCCUCUCCAACCAUCAAAAUCAAUUGUGUACAUGCACAGCAUAUUACUGCCUCAGCAAUAAAAUAAUAAAUACCAGUAAAUAAAUUAUUAAUCAAGUGAAUAACAGAUGAAAGGGACUUUACAAAUGAAAGGCAAUACUAGCAUCUGUAUUAUUUUGACAUGUCCAUAAAAGUAGAACAUUUAAACAGGCAGUUGAUGAUAUAACAACACAAGCAGUGAGCUAUUGUUCUCUGAAUCUAAUCUCUCUUACUCUCUGGCUUGCCCUCUUCCCUGUAUAGCAAAUUCCUCUCUUGUAUAAAAUUCCGUGUUCACACUUACUCUUAGUAUCAAGGAUCAAAUAUACUUAUUUCAAACUUGAUGUUUGUGUGACCUAGCUUCAGAAGAGAAUCUCAACUUUUGAGUGACUGAACAAUUUUUUUUUUUAUUUAAAAAAUAACGAUCUUGAACAAGAAUAUUCAUCACUGUCCUACAAAUUAAGAACCCAAGACUGAACCUUCAGUUCUGAUAUCAUUUUCAACAGAUUUAAAUAAUGCUGAGGGGUAAUAUGAAGAAAGUCAGAAACAAACACAUCAACAAUAGAAGUACAUCAUGUAGAUCACCGUUUUGAGAAUUAACAAGGAUUACAAGAUAAGAACAAUCCAAUAUAGAGGUAAAGAAAAAAAAAAAAGAGGUUCACAUCUGAAGUAAAUCCAAACCCAUAUCAUCUCAACCAUUAAACUUAAUCUUCCCCACGAUUAAAUACCUUGUUGCAUGAUCUAUACAUGCUGAGGACUAAAGACAGGAAAAGUUCAUGAAAUAACUUUGGGGAGCUCUGACAUAAACAUUUUUCACGGACAGGAUUCACCCAUUGAGUAUGAAAUAACUACUAAGAGUACCAAGCAUAAGGGAUUGAAAAAUAAAUUAAAGCUUGACUUUGUCUAGGAAAUGAAGCCACAAAUAAAUAUUUAAGUGAAAGAAUUUGAUCUUAGAAUCUAGGUCACUUCCCGUUUAAUCUAUAUUAAUAAGCAACAAUUCUAUUUUCCAUAAACUUAUACCAAUUUAUUUUCCCAGUAAGCAUACUUAAAAGAGAUUAUUUCUGAAUUACUAAAACUAAUCCAUUUUGGAGUGUUGCCUAAUUCAUGGUUCAACAUGGCAUGCAAUAUGGGCAAGGAUACGAGAUAUACAAUUUUUUAUAAUUCAUGAGAUGAGGGUACACUCAAUUGGUACGCUAUAUAGGGUCACCAUACACUAAAAAAUAUUGCUCAACUCGCCUUAUAUAUAUAUAUAUAUAUAUAUAUGAAAAUCAUGCAAUACAAAGCAGCUAUUUUAUAAAAUUUGAGGUGAAUGUGUACAUAAAUUCAAGUAAUUUGGAUGAGGGUCAAAUUUAUUUUUAUGGACAAAAUUAAAUUAUUAUAUUUACCUAUCUCUUCUCACCACUUGAAACAUUUUUAAUAUUUGGAAAUUCUUCCAUUGAUUGCAUGCAUAAAGGCCUCCCAAUCAAGGCUGAUAUAGACAAAUCAAGGUCAAUAAUAUGUCCAAGGACAUUAAGGUGACUAUACAUAAAAAUGCCAGGUUUCACAUGCCUUGAUGGCAAGAAUGAUAUCCAGCUAUAUCAACAGGAGUAUCAAAUGUCUUAACUAAAGGCCCCAAGGAGAACUCAAGAAAUCAUGUCUCCGAUGCAAAUGAAUUUGCCCAAACUAAUUCAGGUUAUAAUUUCCACAAUUCAGGUUCUAGCUUUGAAGUGUCA